Long non-coding RNA from Silurus meridionalis, 499 nucleotides. RefSeq lists it as uncharacterized. The record is from RefSeq and is a predicted model, not a curated record. NCBI's taxonomy places the organism in Eukaryota, Metazoa, Chordata, Actinopteri, Siluriformes, Siluridae. The transcript is spliced from 3 exons.
CAGCUUUACAGCGGAUUAUGUUUGACUGUGCCUCAGAGACAAAGACAAGUAAACAAGUUGGGUGUUCUGGUGUUGGAGUCAGAGCUCUACAGCACAUCACUCAAGAUCUUCUGAUACAUUUUCAUCUUGGAACAGACAACCUGCCUCCAGAGACAAAACUGAUCUGGUGUGAUGUGGCAAGAAGACAAAAAUCACAGCAUGUAUGGUUACCCAUUAAAGUACAAGCACUAGAGUUGCACUAAUGAUGCUAUUUCAGUGUGUAUAAGUAAUAAUUCUUACGAGGUGGUAUUUAAGUUUUGAAACUCGCUCAAUUUACAAGUACUUUAUUUAUCCACGUUUACACACUAUCACCUUUAAAAUAUUCCCCUUGAGCAGCAAAACAUCGCUUCCAGAGUUACUACCACUUCUGGAAAGUCUUCUGGAUGUCUUCUUUUCGAAUUGUGUCAAGCACCUUCUGCUAUUUGCACUGGAUCUCCACAAAAAUAUCAAAAAGGCGACC